CGGCCCGGGAAGGGGAGAGUGGCCGAGUGGUCAAAAGCGACAGACUGUAAAUCUGUUGAAGUUUUUCUACGUAGGUUCGAAUCCUGCCUCUCCCAC
This 96-nucleotide transfer RNA is filed under the name Lupinus albus (white lupine). RNAcentral describes it as "tRNA-Tyr". The stretch from base 13 to 95 matches the Rfam family "tRNA". Rfam says of the family: Transfer RNA (tRNA) molecules are approximately 80 nucleotides in length. The record is from RNAcentral. Lineage: Eukaryota; Viridiplantae; Streptophyta; Magnoliopsida; Fabales; Fabaceae.